UGGGUUGUGGCUUAGUGGUAGAGCACUUGCCUAGCAUGCAUGAGGCACUGGGUUUGAACUCUGGCACCACAU
Molecule: transfer RNA, 72 nt
Filed under: Marmota marmota marmota (Alpine marmot)
Lineage: Eukaryota; Metazoa; Chordata; Mammalia; Rodentia; Sciuridae
Also listed under: 3 other names
Rfam family: tRNA
About the family: Transfer RNA (tRNA) molecules are approximately 80 nucleotides in length. Their secondary structure includes four short double-helical elements and three loops (D, anti-codon, and T loops). Further hydrogen bonds mediate the characteristic L-shaped molecular structure. tRNAs have two regions of fundamental functional importance: the anti-codon, which is responsible for specific mRNA codon recognition, and the 3' end, to which the tRNAs corresponding amino acid is attached (by aminoacyl-tRNA synthetases). tRNAs cope with the degeneracy of the genetic code in two manners: having more than one tRNA (with a specific anti-codon) for a particular amino acid; and 'wobble' base-pairing, i.e. permitting non-standard base-pairing at the 3rd anti-codon position.
Source: Rfam by way of RNAcentral